This 738-nucleotide ribosomal RNA is filed under the name Triticum aestivum (bread wheat). Its description in RNAcentral is "partial small subunit ribosomal RNA". The record is from RNAcentral. Lineage: Eukaryota; Viridiplantae; Streptophyta; Magnoliopsida; Poales; Poaceae.
AUGAACUGUCACGAUACCCUUACAAAUGAACUUGCUGACAUCUUUGAAUGCAAAGUUGGCACAAUGCAUUUCACUUACCUAGGUCUUCCCUUAGGGACUGGUAAACCCUCUGUCCAAGAUCUAAUGCCGAUGGUAUGCUCUAUGGAAAGAAGAUUAUCCUCUACUCUAUCCAUGAUGUCGUAUGGGGCCAAACUUUCACUGCUAAACACUGUCAUCACCUCGCUCAUCAUCUUUGCUCUAUGCACACUCAAAUUUCCUCCAAAAAUCUUGGAACUACUGGAUAAGCUUCGGCAGAGAUGUCUUUGGACAAAAAAGACGGAGCGGGGGGAGAAAUGCAACUCUUUGGUUGCCUCGGACAGGAUUUGUCGCCCAAAAGAAAGUGGAGGCCUCGGGAUCAUCAAUUUAAAACUUCAAAGUGACGCUCUUCUCCUGAAAUAUUUGCACAAAUUCUAUAAUCAGCAUGACCUCCCCUGGGUUGAUCUCGUUUGGUCCACAUACUACACAGACAAGAUUCCGCAUGCUUCUGAUCCAUGUGGCUCUUUUUGGUGGAGGGAUGUCCUCCAACUAACUCCAAUCUAUCGUGGCAUCUCCAAAGUUGAGGUUAACCGUGGUGAUAAAAUACUCAUGUGGAAAGAUCUCUGGCUUGAUCAGCCCCUAGCAGACUCACACCCGCGGGCCUUUUUGUUUGCCAAUAAUGAGGAUGCUCAGUCCAAAAUUUUCUGCACAUCUCUUCCUUAG